RNAcentral lists this ribosomal RNA (560 nucleotides) under uncultured Alternaria. Its description in RNAcentral is "eukaryotic LSU rRNA". The stretch from base 210 to 363 matches the Rfam family "5.8S ribosomal RNA". The record is from RNAcentral. Lineage: Eukaryota; Fungi; Ascomycota; Dothideomycetes; Pleosporales; Pleosporaceae.
GUCGUAACAAGGUCUCCGUAGGUGAACCUGCGGAGGGAUCAUUACACAAAUAUGAAGGCGGGCUGGAACCUCUCGGGGUUACAGCCUUGCUGAAUUAUUCACCCUUGUCUUUUGCGUACUUCUUGUUUCCUUGGUGGGUUCGCCCACCACUAGGACAAACAUAAACCUUUUGUAAUUGCAAUCAGCGUCAGUAACAAAUUAAUAAUUACAACUUUCAACAACGGAUCUCUUGGUUCUGGCAUCGAUGAAGAACGCAGCGAAAUGCGAUAAGUAGUGUGAAUUGCAGAAUUCAGUGAAUCAUCGAAUCUUUGAACGCACAUUGCGCCCUUUGGUAUUCCAAAGGGCAUGCCUGUUCGAGCGUCAUUUGUACCCUCAAGCUUUGCUUGGUGUUGGGCGUCUUGUCUCUAGCUUUGCUGGAGACUCGCCUUAAAGUAAUUGGCAGCCGGCCUACUGGUUUCGGAGCGCAGCACAAGUCGCACUCUCUAUCAGCAAAGGUCUAGCAUCCAUUAAGCCUUUUUUUCAACUUUUGACCUCGGAUCAGGUAGGGAUACCCGCUGAAC